Molecule: long non-coding RNA, 1267 nt
Filed under: Homo sapiens (human)
Lineage: Eukaryota; Metazoa; Chordata; Mammalia; Primates; Hominidae
Description: HSALNT0120953
Source: RNAcentral
CUCCUCUGAUGCCUGGUUGUCUUUGUCCUUCAUUUGAGUCCCUCCCAUCAGUUGCAUGUAUAUCAUUGGUCCCUACAGUGGCACUGGCUCAUGUCAUCUCUCCCUUAUCUUCUAUUGUGUAGAAAUAGUUAACAGAUAACAUUUAAGUGAACUGUUAUUUAUUUAAGGAUGAAAAUUAGGAAAUUACUUUAGAUCUCUAGUCGUUAAGUGAGGAAACUGAAGCUUUUAUUUUACUAAGUCUUUUGGGAUAAAAAUUAAGUUACUCAUUCCUUGGGGGAAAGUAUGGUGUGUAAUACUCAUCUUUUGCACUCAGCAGCUCACAAAAAUGAAAAAAGCAAUCAACAAGUAUUUCUGAAAGAAAACAUUAAACAUUCUCCAGACUUUAAUCACAUGAGGAUGGAUAGAGGAUGAGAGUUGGGAUUUAUUUUCAACUUUUCCCCCAAAAUGUCAAUAACAAAUCAUAAAACACAUACACACAUACACAUACACAUACACUUCACAUUCCCUACUUCUAAAACCAGUGCCAUCUGGAUCUGGUCCUCCCUUUCCAUUUCAGUAACAGUGAUGUACUUUUCCCCAGGCUGCCCUCCAAUGUCAUCACCUCCUCUGAUGCCUGGUUGUCUUUGUCCUUCAUUUGAGUCCCUCCCAUCAUUUGCAUGUAUAUCAUUGGUCCCUACAGUGGCACUGGCUCAUGUCAUCUCUCCCUUAUCUUCUAUUGUGUAGUCUAUUCCUUCAUCCCAUCAAAGCUCAUCUGCUAGGAGUCUUGUUUGCCUGAUUAUCCCAGUACCUCUUCCGGAUGUUUUUCCAAGCUUUACUCAUCUCUGUCUGGUCAGGGUUCAUUCUAUUUUUAGACAGCCACUCAAAGUCCACUUCUUUAAGGAGACAAUAUGAUAUAGAGAAAAGACCUUAUGACUAGGAAUCAGAUGGCCUCAAUUUUAGGCCUGGUCCUCUUGAAAAGGUGCUUUCUGAUCUGUGUCAGUCACUUAGCCUCUCUUCACCUCAUUUUUAUAUGCACUAAAUAGAGAUCUAUUCAUUCAACAGCAAAAUUAAGUUGUUUUCAGACAUUGUCCUGGGCACCAGGGCUCCAAAGAACAAUAAAACAUGGAUCUUGUCCUUAAAGAACUUUCAGUUCAGUGGGGGAACAGAGAAGAAAAUGGACAGUUGCAAUACAAGAUGACAAAAACUCAACUUUAGAAGAAAGUAAUUAGGAAAGGGAGCUAGAAGAUGUAGUUUAGCAUCUCCAAGCUCUUAUUAUUUCAUCUGCAAA